Sus scrofa (pig) is the source of this 7245-nucleotide non-coding RNA. The record is from RefSeq and is a predicted model, not a curated record. NCBI's taxonomy places the organism in Eukaryota, Metazoa, Chordata, Mammalia, Artiodactyla, Suidae.
UGCUCUGUACAAAACUUUGUGGAAGGGGAAAAACAGGCCCCUGAGUAUGUGCCUCUAUGCUUGAAACUUCUUGAAACUGCUCCUAACUGCUUGUUUGGCUUCUGUAAACCUGCUUGCAUAAGAUAAAAAGAGGAGAAGUCAAUUGCCUAACGGACCCCAGUAAGAUCGGGCGUGCCACAAAAUGUUGAAAAUCCUGAUAAAUAUAUCUUGGUGACAAUAUGUCUCCCCCACCCAGAGACAGGCACAAACAUGUAACUCCAGAACAACUUAAAAUUAAUUGGUCCACAAAGCGCGGGCUCUCGAAGUUUUGAAUUGACUGGUUUGCGAUAUUUUAAAAAUGAUUAGUUUGUAAAAGCGCGGGCUUUGUUGUGAACCCCAUAAAAGCUGUCCCGACUCCACACUCGGGGCCGCAGUCCUCUACCCCUGCGUGGCGUACGACUGUGGGCCCCAGCGCGCUCGGAAUAAAAAUCCUCUUGCUGUUUGCAUCAAGACCGCUUCUCGUGAGUGAUUUGGGGUGUCGCCUCUUCCGAGUCAGGACGAGAGGGAUUUUAACUCGACUGGCCUUUCAGUUUGGUGCGUUGGCCGGGAAACCCGCGACUACCCCUCACACCCGAGAACCGACUUGGAGGUAAAGGGAUCCCCUUUGGAACGUGUGAGUGUGUGUGUCGGCUGGCGUCUCUGUUCUGAGUGUCUGUUUUCGGUGAUGCGCGCUUUCGGUUUGCAGCUGUCCUCUCAGACCGUAAGGACUGGGGGACUGUGAUCAGCAGACGUGCUAGGAGGAUCACAGGCUGCCACCCUGGGGGACGCCCCGGGAGGUGGGGAGAGCCAGGGACGCCUGGUGGUCUCCUUCUGUCGGUCAGAGGACCGAGUUCUGUUGUUGAAGCGAAAGCUUCCCCCUCCGCGGCCGUCCGACUCUUUUGCCUGCUUGUGGAAGACGCGGACGGGUCGCGUGUGUCUGGAUCUGUUGGUUUCUGUUUUGUGUGUCUUUGUCUUGUGCGUCCUUGUCUACAGUUUUAAUAUGGGACAGACGGUGACGACCCCUCUUAGUUUGACUCUCGACCAUUGGACUGAAGUUAAAUCCAGGGCUCAUAAUUUGUCAGUUCAGGUUAAGAAGGGACCUUGGCAGACUUUCUGUGUCUCUGAAUGGCCGACAUUCGAUGUUGGAUGGCCAUCAGAGGGGACCUUUAAUUCUGAGAUUAUCCUGGCUGUUAAAGCAAUUAUUUUUCAGACUGGACCCGGCUCUCAUCCCGAUCAGGAGCCCUAUAUCCUUACGUGGCAAGAUUUGGCAGAGGAUCCUCCGCCAUGGGUUAAACCUUGGCUGAAUAAGCCAAGAAAGCCAGGUCCCCGAAUUCUGGCUCUUGGAGAGAAAAACAAACACUCGGCUGAAAAAGUCAAGCCCUCUCCUCAUAUCUACCCCGAGAUUGAGGAGCCGCCGGCUUGGCCGGAACCCCAAUCUGUUCCCCCACCCCCUUAUCCGGCACAGGGUGCUGCGAGGGGACCCUCUGCCCCUCCUGGAGCUCCGGCGGUGGAGGGACCUGCUGCAGGGACUCGGAGCCGGAGGGGCGCCACCCCGGAGCGGACAGACGAGAUCGCGACAUUACCGCUGCGCACGUACGGCCCUCCCAUACCGGGGGGCCAAUUGCAGCCCCUCCAGUAUUGGCCCUUUUCUUCUGCAGAUCUCUAUAAUUGGAAAACUAACCAUCCCCCUUUCUCGGAGGAUCCCCAACGCCUCACGGGGUUGGUGGAGUCCCUUAUGUUCUCUCACCAGCCUACUUGGGAUGAUUGUCAACAGCUGCUGCAGACACUCUUCACAACCGAGGAGCGAGAGAGAAUUCUGUUAGAGGCUAGAAAAAAUGUUCCUGGGGCCGACGGGCGACCCACGCAGUUGCAAAAUGAGAUUGACAUGGGAUUUCCCUUGACUCGCCCCGGUUGGGACUACAACACGGCUGAAGGUAGGGAGAGCUUGAAAAUCUAUCGCCAGGCUCUGGUGGCGGGUCUCCGGGGCGCCUCAAGACGGCCCACUAACUUGGCUAAGGUAAGAGAGGUGAUGCAGGGACCGAAUGAACCUCCCUCAGUUUUUCUUGAGAGGCUCAUGGAAGCCUUCAGGCGGUUCACCCCUUUUGAUCCUACCUCGGAGGCUCAGAAAGCCUCAGUGGCUCUGGCCUUCAUAGGACAGUCAGCCCUGGAUAUCAGAAAGAAGCUUCAGAGACUGGAAGGGUUACAGGAGGCUGAGUUACAUGAUCUAGUGAAGGAGGCAGAGAAAGUGUAUUACAAAAGGGAGACAGAAGAAGAAAGGGAACAAAGAAAAGAGAGAGAAAGAGAGGAAAGGGAGGAAAGACGUAAUAAACGGCAAGAGAAGAAUUUGACUAAGAUCUUGGCUGCAGUGGUUGAAGGGAAAAGCAAUAGGGAAAGAGAGAGAGAUUUUAGGAAAAUUAGGUCAGGCCCUAGACAGUCAGGGAACCUGGGCAAUAGGACCCCACUCGACAAGGACCAAUGUGCAUAUUGUAAAGAAAAAGGACACUGGGCAAGGGACUGCCCCAAGAAGGGAAACAAAGGACUGAAGGUCUUAGCUCUGGAAGAAGAUAAAGACUAGGGAAGACGGGGUUCGGACCCCCUCCCCGAGCCCAGGGUAACUUUAAAGGUGGAGGGGCAACCAGUUGAGUUUCUGGUUGAUACCGGAGCGAAACAUUCAGUGCUACUACAGCCAUUAGGAAAACUAAAAGAUAAAAAAUCCUGGGUGAUGGGUGCCACAGGGCAACAACAAUAUCCAUGGACUACCCGAAGAACAGUUGACUUGGGAGUGGGACGGGUAACCCACUCGUUUCUGGUCAUACCUGAGUGCCCAGCACCCCUCUUAGGUAGAGACUUACUGACCAAGAUGGGAGCACAAAUUUCUUUUGAACAAGGGAAACCAGAAGUGUCUGCAAAUAACAAACCUAUCACUGUGUUGACCCUCCAAUUAGAUGACGAAUAUCGACUAUAUUCUCCCCUAGUAAAGCCUGAUCAAAAUAUACAAUUCUGGUUGGAACAGUUUCCCCAAGCCUGGGCAGAAACCGCAGGGAUGGGUUUGGCAAAGCAAGUUCCCCCACAGGUUAUUCAACUGAAAGCCAGUGCUGCACCAGUGUCAGUCAGACAGUACCCCUUGAGUAAAGAAGCUCGAGAAGGAAUUCGGCCGCAUGUUCAAAGAUUAAUCCAACAGGGCAUCCUAGUUCCUGUCCAAUCUCCCUGGAAUACUCCCCUGCUACCGGUUAGAAAGCCUGGGACUAAUGACUAUCGACCAGUACAGGACUUGAGAGAGGUCAAUAAACGGGUGCAGGAUAUACACCCAACAGUCCCGAACCCUUAUAACCUCUUGUGUGCUCUCCCACCCCAACGGAGCUGGUAUACAGUAUUGGACUUAAAGGAUGCCUUCUUCUGCCUGAGACUACAUCCCACUAGCCAACCACUUUUUGCCUUCGAAUGGAGAGAUCCAGGUGCGGGAAGAACCGGGCAGCUCACUUGGACUCGACUGCCCCAAGGGUUCAAAAACUCCCCGACCAUCUUUGACGAAGCCCUACACAGAGACCUGGCCAACUUCAGGAUCCAACACCCCCAGGUGACCCUCCUCCAGUACGUGGAUGACCUGCUUCUGGCGGGAGCCACCAAACAGGACUGCUUAGAAGGUACGAAGGCACUACUGCUGGAAUUGUCUGACCUAGGCUACAGAGCCUCCGCUAAGAAGGCCCAGAUUUGCAGGAGAGAGGUAACAUACUUGGGGUACAGUUUGCGGGGCGGGCAGCGAUGGCUGACGGAGGCACGGAAGAGAACUGUAGUCCAGAUACCGGCCCCAACCACAGCCAAACAAGUGAGAGAGUUUUUGGGGACAGCUGGAUUUUGCAGACUGUGGAUCCCGGGGUUUGCGACCUUAGCAGCCCCACUCUACCCACUAACCAAAGAAAAAGGGGAAUUCUCCUGGGCUCCUGAGCACCAGAAGGCAUUUGAUGCUAUCAAAAAGGCCCUGCUGAGCGCACCUGCUCUGGCCCUCCCUGACGUGACUAAACCCUUUACCCUUUAUGUGGAUGAGCGUAAGGGAGUAGCCCGGGGAGUUUUAACCCAAACUCUAGGACCAUGGAGGAGACCUGUUGCCUACCUGUCAAAGAAGCUCGAUCCUGUAGCCAGUGGUUGGCCCAUAUGCCUGAAGGCUAUCGCAGCUGUGGCCAUACUGGUCAAGGACGCUGACAAAUUGACUUUGGGACAGAAUAUAACUGUAAUAGCCCCCAUGCGUUGGAGAACAUCGUUCGGCAGCCCCCAGACCGAUGGAUGACCAACGCCCGCAUGACCCACUAUCAAAGCCUGCUUCUCACAGAGAGGGUCACGUUCGCUCCACCAGCCGCUCUCAACCCUGCCACUCUUCUGCCUGAAGAGACUGAUGAACCAGUGACUCAUGAUUGCCAUCAACUAUUGAUUGAGGAGACUGGGGUCCGCAAGGACCUUACAGACAUACCGCUGACUGGAGAAAUGUUAACCUGGUUCACUGACGGAAGCAGCUAUGUGGUGGAAGACACCUUUUCAGGAUGGGUAGAGGCUUAUCCUACUAAGAAAGAGACUUCAACCGUGGUGGCUAAGAAAAUACUGGAGGAAAUUUUUCCAAGAUUUGGAAUACCUAAGGUAAUAGGGUCAGACAAUGGUCCAGCUUUCGUUGCCCAGGUAAGUCAGGGACUGGCCAAGAUAUUGGGGAUUGAUUGGAAACUGCAUUGUGCAUACAGACCCCAAAGCUCAGGACAGGUAGAGAGGAUGAAUAGAACCAUUAAAGAGACCCUUACCAAAUUGACCACAGAGACUGGCAUUAAUGAUUGGAUAGCUCUCCUGCCCUUUGUGCUUUUUAGGGUGAGGAACACCCCUGGACAGUUUGGGCUGACCCCCUAUGAAUUGCUCUACGGGGGACCCCCCCGUUGGCAGAAAUUGCCUUUGCACAUAGUGCUGAUGUGCUGCUUUCCCAGCCUUUGUUCUCUAGGCUCAAGGCGCUCGAGUGGGUGAGGCAGCGAGCGUGGAAGCAGCUCCGGGAGGCCUACUCAGGAGGAGACUUGCAAGUUCCACAUCGCUUCCAAGUUGGAGAUUCAGUCUAUGUUAGACGCCACCGUGCAGGAAACCUCGAGACUCGGUGGAAGGGACCUUAUCUCGUACUUUUGACCACACCAACGGCUGUGAAAGUCGAAGGAAUCCCCACCUGGAUCCAUGCAUCCCACGUUAAGCCGGCGCCACCUCCCGAUUCGGGGUGGAAAGCCGAAAAGACUGAAAAUCCCCUUAAGCUUCGCCUCCAUCGCGUGGUUCCUUACUCUGUCAAUAACUCCUCAAGUUAAUGGUAAACGCCUUGUGGACAGCCCGAACUCCCAUAAACCCUUAUCUCUCACCUGGUUACUUACUGACUCCGGUACAGGUAUUAAUAUUAACAGCACUCAAGGGGAGGCUCCCUUGGGGACCUGGUGGCCUGAAUUAUAUGUCUGCCUUCGAUCAGUAAUCCCUGGUCUCAAUGACCAGGCCACACCCCCCGAUGUACUCCGUGCUUACGGGUUUUACGUUUGCCCAGGACCCCCAAAUAAUGAAGAAUAUUGUGGAAAUCCUCAGGAUUUCUUUUGCAAGCAAUGGAGCUGCGUAACUUCUAAUGAUGGGAAUUGGAAAUGGCCAGUCUCUCAGCAAGACAGAGUAAGUUACUCUUUUGUUAACAAUCCUACCAGUUAUAAUCAAUUUAAUUAUGGCCAUGGGAGAUGGAAAGAUUGGCAACAGCGGGUACAAAAAGAUGUACGAAAUAAGCAAAUAAGCUGUCAUUCGUUAGACCUAGAUUACUUAAAAAUAAGUUUCACUGAAAAAGGAAAACAAGAAAAUAUUCAAAAGUGGGUAAAUGGUAUGUCUUGGGGAAUAGUGUACUAUGGAGGCUCUGGGAGAAAGAAAGGAUCUGUUCUGACUAUUCGCCUCAGAAUAGAAACUCAGAUGGAACCUCCGGUUGCUAUAGGACCAAAUAAGGGUUUGGCCGAACAAGGACCUCCAAUCCAAGAACAGAGGCCAUCUCCUAACCCCUCUGAUUACAAUACAACCUCUGGAUCAGUCCCCACUGAGCCUAACAUCACUAUUAAAACAGGGGCGAAACUUUUUAACCUCAUCCAGGGAGCUUUUCAAGCUCUUAACUCCACGACUCCAGAGGCUACCUCUUCUUGUUGGCUUUGCUUAGCUUCGGGCCCACCUUACUAUGAGGGAAUGGCUAGAGGAGGGAAAUUCAAUGUGACAAAGGAACAUAGAGACCAAUGUACAUGGGGAUCCCAAAAUAAGCUUACCCUUACUGAGGUUUCUGGAAAAGGCACCUGCAUAGGGAUGGUUCCCCCAUCCCACCAACACCUUUGUAACCACACUGAAGCCUUUAAUCGAACCUCUGAGAGUCAGUAUCUGGUACCUGGUUAUGACAGGUGGUGGGCAUGUAAUACUGGAUUAACCCCUUGUGUUUCCACCUUGGUUUUCAACCAAACUAAAGACUUUUGCGUUAUGGUCCAAAUUGUCCCCCGGGUGUACUACUAUCCCGAAAAAGCAGUCCUUGAUGAAUAUGACUAUAGAUAUAAUCGGCCAAAAAGAGAGCCCAUAUCCCUGACACUAGCUGUAAUGCUCGGAUUGGGAAUGGCUGCAGGCGUGGGAACAGGAACGGCUGCCCUAAUCACAGGACCGCAACAGCUGGAGAAAGGACUUAGUAACCUACAUCGAAUUGUAACGGAAGAUCUCCAAGCCCUAGAAAAAUCUGUCAGUAACCUGGAGGAAUCCCUAACCUCCUUAUCUGAAGUGGUUCUACAGAACAGAAGGGGUUAGAUCUGUUAUUUCUAAAAGAAGGAGGGUUAUGUGUAGCCUUAAAAGAGGAAUGCUGCUUUUAUGUGGAUCAUUCAGGAGCUAUCAGGGACUCCAUGAGCAAGCUCAGAGAAAGGUUAGAAAAACGUCACAAAGAAAAAGAGGCUGGCCAAGGAUGGUUUGAGGGAUGGUUCAACAAGUCCCCAUGGGUGACCACCCUGCUUUCUGCUCUAACAGGACCCCUAGUAAUACUGCUCCUGUUGCUUACAGUUGGGCCUUGCUUAAUUAAUCGGUUUGUUGCCUUUGUUAGAGAACAAGUGAGUGCAGUUCGGAUCAUGGUACUUAGACAGCAGUACCAAGGCCUUCCAAGCUAAGGAGAAACUGACCUUUAGCCUUCCUAGUUCUAAGAUUAGAACUAUUAACAAGAGAAGAAGUGGGGAA